GAAUUACUCACCGCUAUCACAGUUUUCUAACAUUAUUGUCUCUCUUCUUAACUCAUUCUCCCUUCUCAAACCUUGCAUUGCCAUCCUCUCACUCUCUGUCUCUCUCAUCUCCCUCUCUCAGUGAAAUCUUUAAUCCCUGUCAGUUAGGUUUAUCUCCCCCCAUAACUCACUAGAGCAGAAAUACGCAGCCUGUUAUUAUUUUAUCCACAUACAUAUCAUAAUCUACUGAUAUCACACAUAGAAACACAUUUCCGUAAGUUCUUACAAUACAUACUCUUUAUAUACACACAUCUAUGGCUUGACAGUCGUUGAGAUGUAACAGUGAAACAGAUAAAGCAAAGAAUGAGACCAACGAAACAGGAGAUGGGAAACUGCACUAAAACUCAACGGAAGAAAAUCGCCAAGGUAUGAGAAAUAGCCUUUGGUAUACAUUGUGGGGUUUAUUCACUAAGCGGGGAAAUGUGGAGAAUAGACGACGGAAAUUUCAAAUUGUAGGCCGAGAUAAAAAGCGGGAACAGAACAGAAUAAAUACAUUCUUGAUUUAUUUAUUUUUUUUCAAUUAAGAUAUUUUGGUCUAGCAUUUGCGGUUACCUUGACAUCUCUCCACAGUUCUCAAUUUAGCAAAUAAACUCCUUUUUGCACUGAAAGACAGAUUGGCGUGAUAUGAUAUUCAUUAUGUAUAUGUGAGAUGGGAACAGAAAAAGAGAGCAAAACAGAAACUUAUAGAAGGUCAAAUGAUACAACAAUUACAGGAAACAAAAUAUACACAUCUGUUUUUUUUAAAGUUAGCAUGCUUGAAAUAUGGUAAUGCGUGCAGGUGUUAUUGACUGAGGUAUUACAGGUUUUAAAACCAACCAUUAAAACAUGCAUAUGCAGAAUUUUAUUUAUUUUUUUCAAAGAAAGCUGGGGAUUUUUUUUUUAAAUUGGACAGAUGUGUGAAACCGAGUUUUAAAGCCUAGUGGGAUAAAUUGUAUGGUUAAAAGGAUUCUUUAGCUUGUUGGAAUGCUCUAUCUGUACAGAGAGUCAUAUUUAUUUAUAAAAAAAAACAAAAAAACUUUUUUUUCUUUUUUUUUUACAAAAAGCAAAUAUUUUAAUAGAAAUUGGAAGUUUUAAAAUUAACUUUUUACACCCCUGCCCACAAGCAGACUGCAUGUCCUGUUGCUUACUGAUUUCUUUAACUCAGUGGACAGGGAAUUGCCCAGAGCACAUGUGUUGCAAAAACGUAUCACUGAACUGCAUUUGGAAGUAUGUGAUUGGACAGCUAUAAAAAGUCUGUGAUGGGGAGGGCUCCAAAGGCAAGAGAACUGCAGCUUUUGCAAGCUGUUUUUAGAUAUACUCCCAAUGCAAAAUGCAUUAUAAAUGUAUACACGUUUGUAUUUUGGGUAUAUCUGAUUUAUUUAUUUUUUUAAUCUGGUUAGUGGCUUGUCUUUUUAGGAAAACACGUGAAAAGAAGGAGAUUAAACCUUCUUCAAGCACUGAGAAAACAGGAGUUGAAGAAAACCUUAAAAAAACCCAAGCUCAAUGAAUAAACAAAAUAAAAACAAUUUAGAUACAUUUCUAAUCCUUAUUUGCAUUGCUGUUAUGCAAUUUAGGGAAUAGAAAUGUUAUAUACAAAGGCAAAGACUUUAAAGAUCAGUUAUCUUAUUCCCACACAUCACUGCAAGGAAACUUACAAUUUGCUCACUGUUUUAUUUUAAUUGUUUUGGUUGGGUAGUGGGUUGUGUUCCCAAUCCAACUACAUUGUAAUUAGGAAUAUUAUUUUAAUGUAAAAUUUUAAUGGAUUGAACAUUGGUAACUCCAGGCCCAGACUGGUCAUCAGGGACACUGGGCCCAGUUGGUCUGGCUAAUAUAAUAUUUGCAGUAUCUCUGUCCCUUCUGCAAAGCUGUCUGAAUUUCGGCUAACUGCUUAGGUCAUUCCUGCACCAGCUCUCUCUUGCAUUUGUUCAGCAAGUAUUAUUUAUAUAACUGUACAUUUGACCAUUAAUGUUUUUUUACUGAAAGUGUAUGACGACAGCUAACCAAUAAAGUGUGCAGCUCUGCAGGUAAAAAUACAGGGAUAUUUUGGUCCCACUCUGGUCCAGUGAUAAACUGUUUUUUAUUUUAUCUUCACAAUGAAUGUAAUAUAAUAGGAAGAUAAAUUAUAUUGUCAUUCCAUCUGCAUUAUCUAUAUUAUGAAAGAGAGGGAAGUAAUCGGACAGGCGAUUUUGUUUCAUCCACUACAAUUUGACAUAGUAAGUCUCUCCUCUCUCUCCCAUCAGGAUGGGAAGUCUUCCCCUGUGCACUUCGUACCUCUAUCACCCUCUGACCUAGGGGCAGAAAUUGUGGAGAACUGGCCGCGGCCAUUGCAGAGCUUUGCAGCGCUGCAGAGUCUUGCGGGGACUGCAUGCAUCUUCCUGCGCCACAGCAUCGCUAUCACUCAGAUCG
Molecule: non-coding RNA, 2424 nt
Organism: Pelobates cultripes (western spadefoot toad)
Lineage: Eukaryota; Metazoa; Chordata; Amphibia; Anura; Pelobatidae
Source: the annotation of a GenBank genome assembly